AACGCACAUUGCGCCCUUUGGUAUUCCGAAGGGCAUGCCUGUUCGAGCGUCAUUAUAACCACUCAAGCCUUUGCUUGGUCUUGGGGUUCCCGGCUUCGGGGCCCUUAAAAUCAGUGGCGGUGCUUGUAAGCUCUACGCGUAGUAAUACUCCUCGCGUCUGACCCUUAUAAGUGCCCUGCCAGUAACCCCCAAUUUUUUACAGGUUGACCUCGGAUCUGGUAGGGAUACCCGCUGAACUUAA
This 241-nucleotide unclassified non-coding RNA is filed under the name Ramaria sp. RNAcentral's name for it is "partial contains 5.8S ribosomal RNA, internal transcribed spacer 2, and large subunit ribosomal RNA". The stretch from base 1 to 52 matches the Rfam family "5.8S ribosomal RNA", at positions 103 to 154 of the family's 154-position model. Lineage: Eukaryota; Fungi; Basidiomycota; Agaricomycetes; Gomphales; Gomphaceae. The record is from RNAcentral.